Prolemur simus (greater bamboo lemur) is the source of this 102-nucleotide unclassified non-coding RNA. It matches the Rfam family "Y RNA". Rfam says of the family: Y RNAs are components of the Ro ribonucleoprotein particle (Ro RNP), in association with Ro60 and La proteins. The Y RNAs and Ro60 and La proteins are well conserved, but the function of the Ro RNP is not known. In humans the RNA component can be one of four small RNAs -- hY1, hY3, hY4 and hY5. The record is from Ensembl. Lineage: Eukaryota; Metazoa; Chordata; Mammalia; Primates; Lemuridae.
GUUUGGUCCAAGUGCAGUGGUAUUUACAAUUAAUUGAUCACAACCAGUUACAGAUUCCUUUGUUCCUUCUCCAUUCCCACUGCUUCACUUGACCAGCCUUUA